This 1245-nucleotide ribosomal RNA is filed under the name Triticum aestivum (bread wheat). Its description in RNAcentral is "partial small subunit ribosomal RNA". The record is from RNAcentral. Lineage: Eukaryota; Viridiplantae; Streptophyta; Magnoliopsida; Poales; Poaceae.
AUGUUGGCAAGGGCGAUGGCCGAGGAAGCCAGCGUGCCCUUCUUUGCGUGCAGCGGCAGCGAAUUCAACGACGACUAUGUGUUCGUUGGGGCAAAAAGAGUGAGGGCGCUCUUCGCCGCGGCGAAGAAGCGAUCUCCUUGCAUAGUGUUCAUCGAUGAGAUCGACGCCAUCGCUGGGAGUGGGAGCAGGUGCUCAUAUGGUUCAGAGUCGCAGAUGCAUACCCUGAACCAGCUGCUAGUUGAGCUAGAUGGCUUCGAGCAGAAUGACGGGGUCAUCGUGGUCGCGGCGACCAACAUCCCCGAGUCGUCACUGGAUAAGGCCCUUGUUAGGUCUGGGCGUUUUGACCGUCACGUUCAGAUUCCUUAUCCAAAUGCUAAGGGCCGAAGGCAGAUCCUUGAGGCCCAUAUGUCAAAGGUCUUGAAAGCCAAGGAUGUUGAUCUUCAGACCAUCGCCAAGGAGACGUCUGGAUUCACAGGUGCAGACCUCGCAAAUCUGGUGAACGAAGCCGCUCUCAAGGCUGCUAAGGACGGGGCAGAAGCUGUCACGACACAACACCUCGAGUAUGCUGCCAUGAAAAGGAUCAUCAUGGGCAGCAAGAACAAAACGGUGGCGAUGCCUGAGAGCUGCAGGAAGAUGGUCGCGUACCACGAGGGAGGGCAUGCUGUUGUUGCUAUCCACACGGACAGCGCUGCUCCUGUCGAAAAGGCUACCAUUGUUCCCGGUCCCGGGGGGGAUAAUCUUGGCAUGGUGACGCAGCUGCCAGAGGAGGACGAUAAGUUUUUCUUCUCAAAGGAGAAGAUACUGGCACAACUGGAUGUCCUCAUGGGAGGCCGGGCUGCCGAGGAGGUUAUCUUUGGCGAGAGCAAGGUGAGCUCCCUCGCCUUGUCUGACCUAAGAAAGGCGACUAAGCUGGCGACGGAGAUGGUCGCCAGGUAUGGUAUGAGCAAGCGGGUCGGCCCUGUUUCGUAUGACAAUGACGACGAUGACGACGGUUGGAAUGCCAAGACCAUGAUCUGGCAACCGAAGUACCUGGUUAAUGAGGAGGUGAGAGAAUUGCUAGGCAAAGCUUACAAUAACGCAAAGACGAUCCUCACGGCACAUAGUAGGGAGCUUCAUGCGCUGGCCAACGUCCUCCUGAAGGACCAAACUCUCACUGGAGACCAGAUCACGGCCCUCCUGAAGCACGAGACUCUCGCCGGAGGCCAGGCCGCCAAACAAGUAUUGCCUGCAGAGUCUGCAAAAUGA